This is a long non-coding RNA of Felis catus (domestic cat), 570 nucleotides long. RefSeq lists it as uncharacterized. The record is from RefSeq and is a predicted model, not a curated record. Lineage: Eukaryota; Metazoa; Chordata; Mammalia; Carnivora; Felidae. The transcript has 2 exons.
AGCAAAAACUUGAAUCCUUAUGCAAUCCAAAUGCUGUUUCCUCGAAAACCACAACAAACUCUGCUAAACCAGAUAACACGUUGGGAACAGUCGUGCCCCCACCCCAGCCCGUUUCAGGGCCAGCAGAGGACAUCCUUGCCCAGGAGCUCCUCUCCAGGACAGACGAUAAAUAAUUGCUACUAACACUGAACUGCAGAUGAGCCCCCUUGAGGGAUCCGGAUGCCGUAAACUGUCCCGGAAUGUUGGCAUCUGGCUCUUAAAAUGGAACUUUCCCUAGAGAUAAAGCCGGGACCGAGCAGGCGUCUGCGUCCGCGGGCUGGCUUGGAAGUUUCUGGCCUCUAGAUGCUCCCGGUUGAGAACGCAGCUUUGGAAAGAGGCUCAGUCGGCCCCGCUUUGUAGUGGAGUCCAGCAUCAAAGUCAUCCCCGCGAAGAUCCAAAGGAAUAAAUAAAUCUCGCCGGCCGCUGAGACCGUCACCUUCUCCCCAUCCGCUCCUCCCUCGCGCCAGCCCCACCCCGAACGCCUCGGUUGCAAAAACAAGUGAAAUAAAGCAAAACCUCUUGCUUUGGCAA